This 267-nucleotide ribosomal RNA is filed under the name uncultured bacterium. RNAcentral describes it as "partial 16S ribosomal RNA". It matches the Rfam family "Bacterial small subunit ribosomal RNA", at positions 524 to 784 of the family's 1533-position model. The record is from RNAcentral.
UACGUAGGGUGCGAGCGUUUGGUCCGGAAGUUAUUGGGCGUAAAGAGCUCGUAGGUGGCGGGUCACGUCGGGUGUGAAAGCCCGGGGCUUAACUCCGGGUCUGCAUUCGAUACGGGUCUGCUGGGGUCCGGCAGGGGAGACUGGAAUUCCUGGUGUAGCGGUGAAAUUCGUAGAUAUUCGGAAGAACACCAGUGGCGAAGGCGGCCCGCUGGACAUGUAUUGACGCUGAGGUGCGAAAGCGGUGGGGAGCAAAGCAGGGAUUAAGAA